CACGUAGGAGGCAAGCGUUAUUCGGAUUUACUGGGCGUAAAGCGCGUGCAGGCGGUUUGGAAAGUUGGAUGUGAAAGCUCCUGGCUCAACUGGGAGAGGUCGUUCAAAACUUCCAGACUUGAGAGUGGUAGAGGGAGGUGGAAUUCCGGGUGUAGUGGUGAAAUGCGUAGAUAUCCGGAGGAACACCAGUGGCGAAAGCGGCCUCCUGGACCACUUCUGACGCUCAGACGCGAAAGCUAGGGUAGCAAACGGGAUUAGAGACCCCGGUAGUCCUAGCUGUAAACGAUGUGAACUUGGCGUUGGUGGGUUUAAAUCCAUCAGUGCCGAAGCUAACGCGAUAAGUUCACCGCCUGGGGACUACGGCCGCAAGGUUAAA
This 376-nucleotide ribosomal RNA is filed under the name uncultured bacterium. RNAcentral describes it as "bacterial SSU rRNA". It matches the Rfam family "Bacterial small subunit ribosomal RNA", at positions 524 to 898 of the family's 1533-position model. The record is from RNAcentral. RNAcentral also lists the same sequence under 1 other name.